RNAcentral lists this non-coding RNA (29 nucleotides) under Homo sapiens (human). The record is from RNAcentral. Lineage: Eukaryota; Metazoa; Chordata; Mammalia; Primates; Hominidae.
UGGUGAGGGACACAAGUUGGACCAGAAGC